CAGAGGUGCAGAGCCGUGUGACUACCUGUCCUGCUCCCCAAACACCUCUGCCAAUGCCGCGCUGAGAACGGCUUGGGCAGGGAGCAGUGGGGCCUGGCACCAAGCAACCUCAGUGGCACCCCAGGCCCUGCAGAUCCCCAGGCCAACGAGGGGCCUGUAGCUCAGGCUGGGGCCUGCUCUGCCUGGGCAGCGACUACCAGCCCCCUUGAGCCCUACCAGACCUUGAGAGGCUCCCCUGUAGGGUCCAGCUUUCCUGGUGUCCCUCACAGGCCUGGGGCACCCGCUGGACUACACGAGUCACCACGUGGGCUGGGGUUGUGACUCAGGGUAGAGCACGUGCCUAGCAUGUUGAGGCAAUGAGUUCGAUUCUCAGCACUGUGUAUGAAUUAUAAAGGAGCAGGGACCGGUGCCAUCAACUAAAAGCAACUAAAAAAUAUGUUAAAAAAGUACAGAAAUAUUACUGAGUGGUUUCUGUCUCUUGGUUGGACAGACUGAUACAUUAAUAACAAGAAAAAAGUUCUAGUGAAAUCUUGUAACUUUUGUCUAAGUGAUUUCUAAAAUUCUAUUUUUAAGACAGUAUGUGGAAAGAGUGAGCUUGUGGGUGAUGGGGAGACUCUCCUUCUGCUCGUGGGAUGGAUCUACGCUUCUUGCCAGCUCUCCUAGGAAGCGUUGUUCUCCGUAGUGCAGCGGGCCUCGGCGGUUCUCUGGUCUGAGUGGGGGUGUCCACUUUCUGUUGUUGAUUCCGGGUCUGUUCCAUCUGGCCGUCUGAGAGCAGGCCUGUGUGACUCUGUUCCCUUGCCCCUCGGGUGCGCCUGUUGACCUGGAUGUUGGUCCGUCCUGGUGAGUGUCCGUGGGCGCUCAAGAGUGGGCUCUGCCCUCGUGGGAUGGGGCAGCCGUAGCUGUCCAUCGUACCCAGGGGACCCAUGGUGCCGCUGGGCUGGACGUCCUGACCGCCCUGCCUGUGGGUCUGGGGUGGCUGAGAGCUGUGGCUGCCCCAGCGACUGUGGCGCGCCCUCUCACUGCAGGUCUGUGGGCUUCGCCGUGCACCAUUGCCUUUCUGAGACAUGCACCCCUGCACCAGGCAGCGCCUGUGACUUCCUCGUGACUUCCACGGCUCCAGCUGAGACCAGUGCCGCUCCUCCUGCCUCCUCUGUUCCCCAGUCUUCUCCGCUCGCUCCCUCGUGGGCGCCUCACUUGCCUUUGUCUCCGUCGCCUGUGAGGCUGGGGUGGAACCUAAAAGCCCUCUGCCGCUGAGCUGCACCUCUUCAUGUGUUCUGAGCAGGGUCUUGCUGAGUUUCCCAGUCUGGCCUCAGACUCACAGUCCUCCUGCCUCUGCCUCCUCAGUAGCUGGGGUCACAGACGUGGCCACUGUGCCCAGCUACAUCAUACCUCUCAUGGUUGCUCCGUGCUUCCUGGAUUGUUCUGCUGUUAUUUUUUCUCUUAGAUUUUUAAUUUCAGAGGGUUCUUUUCUCAUGUUCUCACCUCACAUUCUUAGCCAUGAGCCUCCCAGGGAACCCAUCCAAAGUGCUCAUCAGCUCUGGGCAGUUUUGAUCUCUAGCCUUCUUUCUGAUCUUAGGAUUUCUGUCUCUCUGCUUGCAUUGUUCAGUUGUUCUCUCAGCAUUCACUUUUUCCCAUUAGAUCCCAUAACACAUCGAUCAUAGCUUUUUAAAAUUCCUGGUGUUAUCAUUCAACAUUCUUGUCAUAUCUGACUCUGCUUCUGAUGCUCAUUUAGGCUCUUCAGACUAUUUUUUCUUUGCUUUUUAAUCUGCCUUGUAAUUUUUGGUUGAAAGCGGAAUAUGAUGUAUUGGAUAAAAGGAACUGCUGAAAAUAGACCACUAGUGAUUGUAUUAGUCUGUUUUCUGUUGCUGUAUCAAAAUAAUUGAGGCAGGCUACUUUUAAAGAAAAAAGGUUUGUUUAGCUAACAGUUUUGGAGGCCAAACAUCCAAGUUCAGGUGGCCCUAUCUGCUCUUAUGAGGCUCCCUUGUCGUCAUGGCAAGAGCAAGCAUGAUAAAUAGGAUCACAGAAUCUGCCAGGAGACCAGGCAGACUCAGGGGCUCCUUUGGAACAACUGGCUCUUGCCAGGUGGGCUUUUGUCCCCUCUGCAGGUGAUGCCCCUGUAAACUAAUCCCGUCCUGUGAGGUCCCACCUCCUAAAGGUCCCUCCACCUCCCAGCACCUCCACCCUGAGGCCGAGCUUCUACACAUGACCUCUGGGACGCGCACAGCUUGUGGAAACCCCGCAGUAGUGUGGAGGGCACCUGGCCCUGUGACCAGGCCUCGGUGCCGGGGAGCCUGCACCCUGACCGUGCAUCUCCAUGUGUUUCCCAGUCUCUCCCAGGGCAGUGCGGCUGCAGGGCUGAAGCCAAGUGCUCUCUGCCCACACGGAGGGCAGGGGCUGCUGAAAUCAGGUUGGCCUGGCUCUGUCAGCAGGCCUGGGGUGGAGGGCCAGCUGGGGGGCCGUGUCACGGUGGCUCCUUUACUCCUGUCUGUGCUGGAGCGUGAGGGGGUCUUCCUCCCAUGUUGUCCCCUGGAGCUAAACCUAGGGAUGCCAGGUCCCUGCAUAGGUCCCCAGAGUCCUCAUUUCUCAGGCUUCUCCACCCUGGGCCUCCAGCAAGUGGCCAGUGCUGAUGGACCUGCCCAGUGCCCACGCCUGGCCCAGGGCCUCCGCUCAGGUGAGUCCCGUGUCCCCAUCCUGCCCCUCCAGCCUCGGGAUGGCAUUCCUCGCUUCCUGGUGGGUCUGAGAAGAGUGUGGGUCUUCAGGAUGCAGGUCUUGAUCAUGGGGCUGGAGGGCGACACCCCGCCUGAAGUGCUGGGCCUGGAGCUAGACGUGGACGGCUGGUGUUGGAAACCUCCAACUAGAAAACAAGACAUGGCAGAGCUGCCAUCUACGAGCGGAAGGUGUGCCAUUGCCCAGACCAUUAGCAAGCCAGGGACACAGUGCCAGACAGGAGCCAUGGUGUCCCCGGGGCCGAGACCAAAGGGACUGCGGCUGACUCACCAGCUAGUGCCAUCUAUGCACCUGCAUCACAGACAGCUGUAGAGCUGAGUCCUCUCCAACAGAACGCCCAGGGUCAGGACCAGGCCUCGGUCCUGGGGAGCCUGCACCCUGACCGUGCAUCAAACCUGGAAACCUGGUCCUCGAGCUCACCGCCACACACGGUGAAGUCAUCUGGAACACAUGCUACCUGGAGGUGGAACGUUCCCAUGGGUGUAGAGCACCUACUGGUUAGAACUGGAAGGUACUCAGAUAAGAUCAUAGCAAGAACUGGGGGAUUAAUAUUUAAAGUAACCUCCAUAAUAAAAUCGAACAAGUUGGUAAAAACCUUGUAACCUGCAUUAAGUUUAUCUUUUAAAAUAUAUCACCUGUUGUUACACUUCUAAAUGUGUCUGUAUACCAACUUAACCAGCACAUGUUCUGAACAUGCUGGAAUGGUUUUUUAGAACCUUUAGCAGGAUUCUUGCAAUGUGACCCAGAAUCCAGCCCAAUGGGAGCUCAGCUCAGUGCCUCCUGGCUGUAGACCCCCUGCUCCAGCUGGGGCCUGGGACAAGGGCAGUGUUUUGGUAAUCACAGCUUUAGAACAAACCUCAGGUGCCCAGGAUGCCACAGCUUGCACCCCCGUGUGGAAUCCGCUAUGAGGCGGGGCCUCCUGCUCACCCAAUGCCUGUGGGCUGGCUCUGCCCCAGCCUGAGCUGGCCAGGGGGUGGCCUACAGCCACAGGGCUGCAGCCUCAAAUCCUAAACUUAAAUCAUACCCAUACUCUUGCAGGGACAGAAUUUGCAACUUGUGACAACACUCUACCUGCAGGCAACUCAGGUGUCCCAUGUUGCUUCACUGGGCAGAGAGCCCUUGCCCCCUCCUUUGUGGCAGCAGUCCCAACCACUCCAGGUGCUCAGUGGCCCCAGGACUGCUUAGGGGGACAGAGUUGUAGGUCCUUGAGGCAGAGGGUCCCUGCUAGUGGCUGGAUAUGCACAGUCUUGGGCUCAGCAUCAUUCGUGGGGACAUUGCUUGGGUCAGAGAUCCAGAGUGUCCCCAAAGCUACAAAGCACUUACAUGACAAGUUACCCAGAAAGGGUCAUGGUUGGGUGGAUCCCAACCAGGAGAAGAAGCUCAGCAGGUAUUCCGAGGCUCAGCCAGUCUAGGAAAUGGGCAUUUGUCUAAGUAUGGGGAAAGUGGCUCAGUGUCUCCAUUACUUUGUGGUGUGUUACAGCCGAGAUCUGAGUCUGGGCAGCCUUUGGUCAAGUCCAUGCUCUGUAGCAUGCAGAAAUGCCUGCUCUUCAGAGAAGCGGGAGAAGGUUUUCUACGACAUUUUGGCAAUAGUUCUCUUUGUAAAUCCAAUGUAUUUUUUAAUAAGUCAUUUAGGAAAGAUAGAAGUGAUUUAAGGAACGCGGGUGCCAUGGUUUGUCAUGUUUUGGAAACUUACCCCAACCAGCAGGGCUGACCGUGGACCUAAGGACACGGCUCUGCCUGUGCAGUAACGAGCACAGGUGCAGGUGGAGGGUCAGUGGCAGUGGGCGUGGGCGUGGGUGUGGGUGUGUUCAUCUCUGGUUCCUUCUCCUGCAUGUCAGUGCAGCAGUGACGCCCUGGCCAGAGGCAGCCCCGCCAUCUCACCUGCCUCCAGCACCACGAGCCAAAUCAGCCUCCACUGCUUAUAAAUCACCCAGAUUGUGUUCUGAUAGAGCAGCCAGAAGUGCACUAGGACACUGCACCUACAUUUAAUUCCUCAAUUAUUUUUCUAAGAGCAUUUCUAAGAGCUAGUAGGAAGAGUUCUGCAUGCAUAUUUGAAUCACUGACUUUCUUCAGAUUAAAAAGUCAACUGUAAACCCUGCACUUAAGAAGUUUUAUGUUUCUACCCAUGACUGCCAAAGGCAAUUGAAGGACUUUGAGAAGCGGCCAGAACUCCAUCACCAAUGACUUCACAUCCUCUGCGCCUCCCAUGCAGGGGAGACCUUCCUCACAUGACAGAAGAAUCCAGUUGCUGCUAUGGCAAGUACUGCAAAAUGUACAGCUGAAGAAACACACUUUCUUUGAGCCCAGGAGUUCUCCAGGUAAGGAUUUGGGCCAGUGUUUUUCUCCACUGAGGUCACUUGUGGUUUUCAGUUGGCGCUGGAGUUGGUCUGGGGACCAUAUGGCUGGACUUCCCUGUCCGGUCCUUGGUGGGGAAGGCAGGUCCUCUGCAGGAAGACUUCUUUCAGGGGAGCUGCCUCAGAGGUCAUGCUGGCCCACUCAUCAUCUCCUGGUUACAGACAGGCCAUGAGGCCAACUGCAAUGGAAAGGACAGGACUAGAAGCCACCUCUUGCUGGAGCGGUGCAACACACUGGGUGGGAGACCUGUUGUGAAAAUACAGUCUACUCUGUGGCCUCACUCCACACACUUGGCCAAGACCCCGGGGCCUUGCCCCUUCAGCAUCCCACUCCAGGACCUGUCAGGAUCCUGCAUGAUGAAGCACUUUGCGUAGUUCCUCAGGAUUAGCGGCUCAGGGACAUUUCCUUCUCAGCCCAAAGAGUUGGGACCUAGAGAGCCAGGGCCCUGACUCCCAGUGGUGGGACAGGGACCAGGUGCCACAGUAGACAGGCCCACCUGAAGGGGUACCGUGAAAGGCAUGAAGUGUGCACUGUCCACAACAAUCCUGAGAUCCAGCCCAACGCAGGGACACACUGCUCCCGAUGGCCCCCAUGGCUGCAAUUCUGGCUUUGGGCCUUGACCCCGCCCGCUUUGAGUCAGAGGCUUCUAUUGCAUUACUUUGGGCUUGUUUAAUCCACACUAGUGUUGACUCUGAUGGUAUCAUUCUCCUGAUAACUUGCAGCUUUCCAUGAAUGUUAUGGAUGUUCACCCAGUUGGACAAAUCCAAUCGGGGGUGAGUACCAGGGAUUGAAUUCAGACGCACUCAACCACUGAGCCACAUCUUCAGUCCUAUUUUGUAUUUUCUUUAGAGACAGUGUCUCACUGAGUUGCUUAGCACCUCACUUUUCCUAAGGCUGGUUUGAACUCGCAAUCCUCCUGCCUCAGCCUCCCGAGCUGCUGGGAUUACAGGUGUGCACCACCGUGCCUGGCUCUGAUUAUCUUUUAAACAGGCUCUUUCCUAUUUUGGGCUCCUUUUGAGAGAGUGUUGUGAAGCAAUGCUCUUAAGAUUCUUGGAAGGGCUGAUUAAUGAGGGCCUGAGAAGACCUUCACAGAGGCCUUUGCUCACUGAAAGGAGCAAUUCAAAUCUGAACACAGGAGGUUUACAGCCCGAGCCUAUUUUACAGACAGGUCUUCCUGACAGUGUCCUGGAUUCCAUCUUUGCCGUGAGCCCUUUUCUUUAAGAAUCUUCUGCUGGGAGAACCUGGUGGUGCAGGAUUCAAGAGUAUGAGAAUGGAAACCCAGGCCUAAAAUCCUAAACUUAAAUCGUACCCAAUGACUUUUGCCACUUCUCUAGGUUAAAGCACACCCUCUGGCCACCCUAGACUCGAGGGUCCUGCCCUUGCCGUAGGUAACUGGAGUGGGAUGGCCUUUGCAAUCUCCCAAGGUUGGCCCGUUGGCCACAAAACAUUUACAUUGUUCAACCUUGUUCACCCUCUGGUAGGACCCCCUGAGUCUCGCCCAUACCUGGUUCAAACCAGGCCUGGCAGCAACUGAGGCUCCUUGGUAGCAUCUCUUCUUGUUCCAGAGAUUUGGGAGCUGAUAUAAUAUAACACACUGUGCCCCUCCACACCCCCUGGAAAGACACCAGGAAAGCACAAGCAGUGCUGCCACUCAAAAUGGGGAGGAACAAGUGCAAGGAAGUCGAAGAUUCGAAAUCUGUGGGGCAAACACUCUUGAAUUCCUCAGCCUCAAUGCAAGAAAACUCUGGUUCAAGCCCAGCUCCACUCCAAAGGGCUCUGGAUCCAUUGUUGUUUGCUGCCCCCAGGAACCCAUCUUGCCGGAGACCACCUUCCAUCCCAAGAGAGGCCUCUGCGUUUGCAGCAGGCAGAUUUCCCAGCAUUCCUGCCCGCAGGAGGGUGCAGGGUCACAAGAGUCCCCUGUUCAAUUUCAGCUGUCUCAGUGUAGUAGCAGCAGGGGAGUGCUCUUGCCAGUAUGCAUUUCUUAAUGACGUUCCUGAGCAGUGCCCCACUGUAGAAAGAGACCACUGUCUGUGGAUGGGCCAUGAUCUUAAAGUAGGACAGAAGAGACUGGACACCUGAGGAAUUUUUCAGGAAGUAGGUUUAUUGACUGCAGGGUUCAGAGGUGGCUCUCACCUAAGAAUUCAUCCUCUGAACAUGAGUACAGAAAUUCUUUGAACUUAUUGGUGGGGGCUAGGAGGUUCAUAUGACAAGCGCAUUCCCUUCCAUCCUCUACAGGGGUUUCACGAGUUUUUCCUGCAAACCUGGCAUUUAUAAAUAAAGAGGAAGCUACAAAACACA
Long non-coding RNA from Marmota monax (woodchuck), 7380 nucleotides. RefSeq lists it as uncharacterized. The record is from RefSeq and is a predicted model, not a curated record. Lineage: Eukaryota; Metazoa; Chordata; Mammalia; Rodentia; Sciuridae. The transcript is spliced from 2 exons.